Molecule: ribosomal RNA, 301 nt
Filed under: uncultured bacterium
Lineage: Bacteria
Description: partial 16S ribosomal RNA
Rfam family: Bacterial small subunit ribosomal RNA
Source: RNAcentral
CAGCCGCCGCGGUAAUACGUAGGUGGCAAGUGUUAUCCGGAAUUAUUGGGCGUAAAGCGCGCGCAGGCGGUUUCUUAAGUCUGAUGUGAAAGCCCACGGCUCAACCGUGGAGGGUCAUUGGAAACUGGGGAACUUGAGUGCAGAAGAGAAAAGCGGAAUUCCACGUGUAGCGGUGAAAUGCGUAGAGAUGUGGAGGAACACCAGUGGCGAAGGCGGCUUUUUGGUCUGUAACUGACGCUGAGGCGCGAAAGCGUGGGGAGCAAACAGGAUUAGAUACCCCCGUAGUCCCUGUCUCUUAUAC